Molecule: non-coding RNA, 967 nt
Organism: Oryza sativa Japonica Group (Japanese rice)
Lineage: Eukaryota; Viridiplantae; Streptophyta; Magnoliopsida; Poales; Poaceae
Source: RefSeq, a predicted model, not a curated record
AGAAUUUUAUUGCACAUCUCAUUCAUUUUUUCAAGAAUGUUGGACUGAUUUUCAAAGUGACCAAUACAUUUUAACUCUAUACCAUUGUUUCUGUCUAUAGUACCAUGCUUCUUAGUGCUAUGCCUAUUUUCAUAUAUCGUUCUCAUAUUAUAUACAGCAUUCCAUUGUAUAACGGUUCAUUUUUCAUUUUAUUAGUGGCUGCCAAACUGAUGGACAACCUUCUUGUGGUGAGCAACCCAUAUAGUCUGAUAAGCUCAAUCUGCCUCACACUUCUUCCAUGGCCACAGAAACAGCUAGCCAGAUGAAAGAAACUGUAUCUGCUGAUGCUAAAAAGAAAAGAAGCAAACUAAGUAUAAGGAUGCUCCACCCACUGCAAUUGAUCUUUUCAAGGAGUGCCAUUGCAAAAGCAAGAUGGGUUUUAAUGAGCCUGUAAAGAAUGUUAUUGUGAGUUACUUUUUUCUUUUAUCUUUUGCAAUUAUAUUUUAAUGAGAAUGAAAUGUGUUUUGUGAUUUCUUAUCUUCCUGUUGCUAGGCUGUGAUAGAAGUUAUCAUUGAUAAUCCUGCACAAGAAGGGCAAGAUAUGAUUGGACUUUGUAGAUAUGGUCAGUGAUGUAGAACUUUGUUUUGCUAUCUAGGAUAUGGUGGUACUGUUGUUUUGCUCACCGACUGAACCUAGUUUGCUCUCAUACUGUAUUUGGAAUGUGUCUGGUUUUGGAUGUUAACUAGGUUGUAAGAUUUAUGUUGUAUUGGAUGUUCGUCGGGUUGUGCUAUAUGGGUUGUUAUCGUGUUUGAUUGUUGGGCAUAUAUGGGCUUAGCCCACUUAUUAUUUGAUAUUAAUAUAAAUGAAUAUAUUAUGACGGGCUCAAAAUGGUGUGGUACAAUGUUUGGGCCUUUAUGGGCUUUUGCAAUGGACUUGUCACAUUUUGCAACGUGACGAAAAAUUCAAUGUUUGUGACGUAAAUGAAGCG